Long non-coding RNA from Syngnathoides biaculeatus (alligator pipefish), 874 nucleotides. RefSeq lists it as uncharacterized. Lineage: Eukaryota; Metazoa; Chordata; Actinopteri; Syngnathiformes; Syngnathidae. The transcript has 3 exons. The record is from RefSeq and is a predicted model, not a curated record.
AGCACGUCUCGGGUGUUAUUUCAGAAAUUGCGCGUGUGUUUAUGCCCGUCUUGCAUAUCAUUCGCAAGCUGGCUGAGCCUCACAGUUAAGCCAUUUGUGUACUGGCGUAUGUGGCUAGGCUAACUGAUUUAGCAUGCUACGCACUACGCCACGCUAGCCGUCAUGCUACUGCUGAUGCGUUGGAAAAAUGGGAGGUGAACCCAUUCUCCUCGCUCGGACUGACACGAUGCGCUGCGUGUAAAGGCUUUACGGUUACGCUAAUUACGGAGCCACAUGCAGCCCGCAGCCAUUCUCAAUUCAAUUUUUUCCCCUCCCUCAUUGCACCGAGAGAGUAUCUGUGCGACUCGGGCUUCGUCGUGUGACAGACUGCGCAUGCAGGGCCGGCUACAACAACAACGACGAGCCCCCCGCCUGACGGGCCGUGUGAUGUGUGGGGGUGUGUUCGCCCUAGCGAACUACCAUCUUCCUUUUCCGCCAGCAGCAGCGUGCAACCGUUGCAGAGGGAACAAUUAGGCAGCGAUGUAAAGUGUAUUACUUCACUGUGUACUUUUCAGUCCAGGAAUUAUUGUGGUGCUUUAAUCGAGUAAGACUACUGUUAUCUCACGUUACUAUGACUGAAGUGAAGAUACAAAGCAGUCCUUUGUAAAACAAAUACUUAGUGCUGAGUAACUCAGUUUUUUUUUAAAAAUAAUUUAGUUUUUUAAAAUCAGAACAUGAAUGGCAUGUGCAUUUAAUUUAUUGGCCAACAGAGGUUGAUUUUCCGCCAGUUUCUGUAAAGCUCCUGAGCCCAUACCAACAGGUCAGCACGAGGGAGUCCCUGCUAUGCUUUGCCCCAUCUCGAGUGGAUUGCAGCAUUACUGAUGCAAAGAGGCAG